CACAGCUACCAGAAGACUUCUGAAAACUUUGUUUUGGAAGAAACAAAGCUCUUAUUGUGAAAGUCUGCUUCCUGACAGGUGGAGCUGUGACGCAUCAGGAAACAACUCACCUGAGUUGUUCUACGUCGACAUUUUGGACUGUUUGAGGAAACUCCCUUCCUGCCUGCUUCCUGACAGGUGGAGCUGUGACUCAUUCCAGGAAACAGCUCACCUGUGUCAGAGAUUUCUCUGCAGGUGGAGAGAAACCCUCUUCUUCAUCAACUCUUCUUCAUCAACUCUUCUUCAUCAACUCUUUGGACUGUUUGAAGAAACUGACCCAUCAGAGGCAAGACCCUCCUGAACCUGGACCUGAACCUGAACCUGAACCUGACCCCCUGGACCUGAC
Molecule: long non-coding RNA, 385 nt
Organism: Perca flavescens (yellow perch)
Lineage: Eukaryota; Metazoa; Chordata; Actinopteri; Perciformes; Percidae
Exons: 3
Source: RefSeq, a predicted model, not a curated record